GCCGCGGUGCCCGAGCGGCCAAAGGGGUCGGGCUGCAGACCCGAUGAUCCGGGGUUCGAAUCCCCGCCGCGGCU
RNAcentral lists this transfer RNA (74 nucleotides) under Candidatus Nanopusillus sp. RNAcentral's name for it is "tRNA-Cys". It matches the Rfam family "tRNA". Rfam says of the family: Transfer RNA (tRNA) molecules are approximately 80 nucleotides in length. The record is from RNAcentral. Lineage: Archaea; Nanobdellati; Nanobdellota; Candidatus Nanoarchaeia; Nanoarchaeales; Nanopusillaceae.